UAAGAGCAAAUGAAAAGAUGAGUAGAAGAUGUGAAGUCGUUUAGAGAGCUUGGUAAGGUGAAAGCAAGCCGAUGGAUAUUUUCGAAUAUGGUCUUUGAUAUUGCGUUUAUUGAUGAACUUGCGCAAGUAAAUUAAUAAUGGUUGACGUUCAUUACUACGUUAUUAGAGAACUUUUAAGGCUGAAUUUAAAUUCAGUAAACAAAGGUGGUACCGCGAGGUCUUUCGCCCUUUGA
Molecule: non-coding RNA, 233 nt
Filed under: Lentilactobacillus senioris
Lineage: Bacteria; Bacillati; Bacillota; Bacilli; Lactobacillales; Lactobacillaceae
Description: Lactobacillus senioris T-box sequence
Rfam family: T-box leader
About the family: Uncharged tRNA acts as the effector for transcription antitermination of genes in the T-box leader family.
Source: RNAcentral